GGGGAAUUUUGGACAAUGGGGGCAACCCUGAUCCAGCCAUGCCGCGUGUGUGAAGAAGGCCUUCGGGUUGUAAAGCACUUUCGGCCGGAACGAAAUCGUCCCCGUUAAUACCGGGGAUGGAUGACGGUACCGGCAGAAGAAGCACCGGCUAACUACGUGCCAGCAGCCGCGGUAAUACGUAGGGUGCGAGCGUUAAUCGGAAUUACUGGGCGUAAAGUGUGCGCAGGUGGCCGCGCAAGUCGAGUGUGAAAUCCCCGGGCUUAACUUGGGAAUUGCGCUCGAAACUACGUGGCUAGAGUGUGGCAGAGGGAGGUGGAAUUCCACGUGUAGCGGUGAAAUGCGUAGAGAUGUGGAGGAACACCAAUGGCGAAGGCAGCCUCCUGGGCCAACACUGACACUCAUGCACGAAAGCGUGGGGAGCAA
Molecule: ribosomal RNA, 423 nt
Filed under: uncultured bacterium
Lineage: Bacteria
Description: bacterial SSU rRNA
Rfam family: Bacterial small subunit ribosomal RNA
Source: RNAcentral